RNAcentral lists this ribosomal RNA (556 nucleotides) under uncultured Aspergillus. RNAcentral's name for it is "SSU rRNA". It matches the Rfam family "Eukaryotic small subunit ribosomal RNA", at positions 194 to 755 of the family's 1831-position model. The record is from RNAcentral. Lineage: Eukaryota; Fungi; Ascomycota; Eurotiomycetes; Eurotiales; Aspergillaceae.
GGAAGGGGUGUAUUUAUUAGAUAAAAAACCAAUGCCCUUCGGGGCUCCUUGGUGAAUCAUAAUAACUUAACGAAUCGCAUGGCCUUGCGCCGGCGAUGGUUCAUUCAAAUUUCUGCCCUAUCAACUUUCGAUGGUAGGAUAGUGGCCUACCAUGGUGGCAACAGGUAACGGGGAAUUAGGGUUCGAUUCCGGAGAGGGAGCCUGAGAAACGGCUACCACAUCCAAGGAAGGCAGCAGGCGCGCAAAUUACCCAAUCCCGACACGGGGAGGUAGUGACAAUAAAUACUGAUACGGGGCUCUUUUGGGUCUCGUAAUUGGAAUGAGUACAAUCUAAAUCCCUUAACGAGGAACAAUUGGAGGGCAAGUCUGGUGCCAGCAGCCGCGGUAAUUCCAGCUCCAAUAGCGUAUAUUAAAGUUGUUGCAGUUAAAAAGCUCGUAGUUGAACCUUGGGUCUGGCUGGCCGGUCCGCCUCACCGCGAGUACUGGUCCGGCUGGACCUUUCCUUCUGGGGAAUCUCAUGGCCUUCACUGGCUGUGGGGGGAACCAGGACUUUUAC